This 257-nucleotide ribosomal RNA is filed under the name uncultured bacterium. Its description in RNAcentral is "partial 16S ribosomal RNA". It matches the Rfam family "Bacterial small subunit ribosomal RNA", at positions 1246 to 1500 of the family's 1533-position model. The record is from RNAcentral.
AAAGCAACAUCGCGAGGUGAAGCAAAUCCCAAAAAAGGCGUCCCAGUUCAGACUGUAGGCUGCAACUCGCCUACACGAAGUUGGAAUCGCUAGUAAUCGCGGAUCAGCACGCCGCGGUGAAUACGUUCCCGGGCCUUGUACACACCGCCCGUCACACCAUGAGAGUCUGUAACACCCAAAGCCGGUGGGAUAACCUUUAUAGGAGUCAGCCGUCUAAGGUAGGACAGAUGAUUAGGGUGAAGUCGUAACAAGGUAGC